ACCGCGUUGAAGCCUUCCUUCAGCGCCCGGAGGAAGACCGUAUCGGCAGGGAACGGCCCCUCGACAUUAAAGCCGAGUGCCCUGGCCUUCUCGACCGCAGGCUCGAUGA
RNAcentral lists this small RNA (109 nucleotides) under Sinorhizobium meliloti 2011. Its description in RNAcentral is "putative ncRNA". The record is from RNAcentral. Lineage: Bacteria; Pseudomonadati; Pseudomonadota; Alphaproteobacteria; Hyphomicrobiales; Rhizobiaceae.